CCUACGGGAGGCAGCAGUGGGGAAUCUUAGACAAUGGGGGCAACCCUGAUCUAGCCAUGCCGCGUGAGUGAUGAAGGCCUUAGGGUCGUAAAGCUCUUUCGCCUGUGAUGAUAAUGACAGUAGCAGGUAAAGAAACCCCGGCUAACUCCGUGCCAGCAGCCGCGGUAAUACGGAGGGGGUUAGCGUUGUUCGGAAUUACUGGGCGUAAAGCGCGCGUAGGCGGAUUAGAAAGUUGGGGGUGAAAUCCCGGGGCUCAACCUCGGAACUGCCUCCAAAACUGCUAGUCUAGAGUUCGAGAGAGGUGAGUGGAAUUCCGAGUGUAGAGGUGAAAUUCGUAGAUAUUCGGAGGAACACCAGUGGCGAAGGCGGCUCACUGGCUCGAUACUGACGCUGAGGUGCGAAAGUGUGGGGAGCAAACAGGAUUAGAUACCCUGGUAGUCCACACCGUAAACGAUGAAUGCCAGUCGUCGGGUAGUAUACUAUUCGGUGACACACCUAACGGAUUAAGCAUUCCGCCUGGGGAGUACGGUCGCAAGAUUAAAACUCAAAGGAAUUGACGGA
This 561-nucleotide ribosomal RNA is filed under the name uncultured bacterium. RNAcentral's name for it is "bacterial SSU rRNA". It matches the Rfam family "Bacterial small subunit ribosomal RNA", at positions 338 to 917 of the family's 1533-position model. The record is from RNAcentral.